RNAcentral lists this small RNA (127 nucleotides) under Marmota monax (woodchuck). Lineage: Eukaryota; Metazoa; Chordata; Mammalia; Rodentia; Sciuridae. The record is from RNAcentral.
GCUAGGCACAGUGGCUCAUGCCUGAAAUCCCAGCAGUUUGGGAGGCUGAGACAGGAGGAUCGCAAGUUCAAAGCCAGCUUCAGCACUUAGUUGAUGACCUAUGCAACUUAGCGAGAUUCUGUCUCAA